Molecule: ribosomal RNA, 978 nt
Filed under: Triticum aestivum (bread wheat)
Lineage: Eukaryota; Viridiplantae; Streptophyta; Magnoliopsida; Poales; Poaceae
Description: partial small subunit ribosomal RNA
Source: RNAcentral
AUGGACAGCAAUCCCGUCGAGCUCCGCCUGCCGACGUCCGCGGCCCUGGCCGCCGCCGACGUUGGCGAGUGCCUGUUCCCCGCACUCACCACGCUCGACCUCUGCGGCUACUACACCCACGACGGCCUCGCCGCCCUUCUCCCCCACUGUCCCCUCCUGCGCGUGCUCCGGUACGCCGUCCGUUACCGCCGGCCCUGUGACGAGGUCGAGGACUACGCCAUCACCGUCAAGUCCCCGACGCUGCGCGAGCUCCUUGUGGAGGAAAGCGGUGUGAAUUAUGUACGCCGCAUCGACAUCGCGACCCCUGCGCUCGAGCAGCUCACCGUGUCCUUCGAGGCCCGCGAGGACCUCACCGUGUCCGUGCAGGCGCCGAUGGCGGAGAAGGUCUCGUGGAGCUGCCGGUAUGGUGGCAGCUGGUUUACAGGGUUUGGUUGUUGGGAAAUUGAGAAGGUGAGCUUAUUCUCGCCGUCACCAUCGCCGGUGCCGACAGCAGAGACACGGCGACCUAAGCUGCUGCACAUUGAUGCUUGCAAAGGACCGGGGAAUGACUGGUUAUUUACAGCCGACGAUUACCCGGCCGAUCACUUGGAGCAAGAGUUAGAGAAGCAUCUGCAGCAGCAGGUUGCCGCCGACUUGUCCGCCAUUGAUUUGGAAGUGCAUCUCACGUCUCUAGGCCACGUCUAUGGAGCAUUCGUGUUGCAUCUCCUCGGGACGCGUCCAGUUCGCACCGCUGCGCGCAGCUUCAAGCUUGCGCUACUCAUGCCUGAACGCAAGGAGGCUGUGGAGGGAUGCAAAACUUUCACCUUGACGGAAGUCCCCCCCCCAUGGAGGGCUGUUAUUGCCAGCCCAGCUGGAGAAACCAAGCUAUCUGCUCGACGGAGCUUGAAGAAGUGGAAAUCGACGGCUUCCGAGGAGACAAUCAUGAGUUCGGUUUCCUGGAGAUGGUGUUCAGAUGUGCGCCGAUGCUUAGAAGAAUGA